RNAcentral lists this transfer RNA (82 nucleotides) under Treponema sp. Its description in RNAcentral is "tRNA-Tyr". It matches the Rfam family "tRNA". Rfam says of the family: Transfer RNA (tRNA) molecules are approximately 80 nucleotides in length. Their secondary structure includes four short double-helical elements and three loops (D, anti-codon, and T loops). Lineage: Bacteria; Pseudomonadati; Spirochaetota; Spirochaetia; Treponematales; Treponemataceae. The record is from RNAcentral.
GGGCAGUUUCCCGAGUGGUCAAAGGGAGCAGACUGUAAAUCUGUUGGCUCAGCCUUCGUAGGUUCGAAUCCUUCACUGCCCA